CCUCUUCCCUAGUGUGGAAGGUUUUUUUUUUUUUGCAAUAAAUCUUGCUGCUGCUCACUGUUUGGGUCCACACUGCCUUUAAGAGGUGUAACACUCACUGGGAAGGUCUACAGCUUCACCCCUGAAACCAGCGAGACCACGAACCAACCAGAAGGAAGAAACUCUGAACACAUCCGAACAUCAGAAGGAGCAAACUCGGGACACGCUGCCUUUAAGAACUGUAACACUCACCGGGAGGGUCCGCGGCUUCAUUCUUGAAGUCAGUGAGACCAAGAACCCACCAAUUCCGGACACAGUAGUAUGUAGUGUUCUUAUUUCAUAUUUUCCCUAUUGAGAUUCACGUGUCUAAUAAUAACUUCAUGAUAUAUCUAGAGGUGUAAGCCAGAAGGAUAAAAGUUUACAGCGGUGAGAACUGGGUAAGGCCUGGCAUCUAUCAGAGAAGAAAGCCAUAGGUGGGAAACUAUGCACAAGCCUUCAUGAGUUGGAGUUGCUUGGGCUGCACAAUCUAAACCUUCGUCUCUGCUUAGGUAACUUAAUCCUUUUGAUAACAGCAAUGCAAGUUGCCAUGUCUACCUGACUCCAAAACAUGUUAUGUUUCUACUGUGCUAAACUGUACUUUCUGUAAAUAAAACAGCCUUGAAAUAAUCUUUAAA
RNAcentral lists this long non-coding RNA (653 nucleotides) under Homo sapiens (human). RNAcentral describes it as "HSALNT0364090". The record is from RNAcentral. Lineage: Eukaryota; Metazoa; Chordata; Mammalia; Primates; Hominidae.